UGGAUAUAUUAAGAAUGAUGGAGAGGCCUAAUAAGCUUUGGAUUUGCUUUGUUUUCCACUGAAAUGUUUUAAGCAACUUAUUGUUGUGGUCAGCUGUUGUGUUAAAGGUCAUCCUACUAAAUACUGAAUGAAUUAAUGGGGAGACAAAAAUGCAUGUGGGAAGAAUAGUGCCUUAGUCUGCUCAUUCUGCCAUAACAGAAUUCCAUGAACUGGGUGGCUUAAACAGCAGAAAUUUAUUUUCUAAUACUUCUGAAGGCUGGAAGUCUGAGGUCAGAGUGCUGGCAUGGUUGACUUCUGGUGAGGGCUCACUUCCUGGCCUGCAGACUGCUGCCUUCUUACUAUGUCCUUACAUGGCAUAAAGAGAAAGAGAGAGCUUUCAGGUAUCUCUUAUAAUGGCACUAAUCCCAGUAGGAGGUCACCACCCUCAAGGCCUCAUCUCAACCUAAUUACUUCUCAAAGCCCCAUCUGCAUAUACCAUCACCAUGGGAGUGAGGGCUUCAACAUGUGAAUUUUGGGGGAGAACAAGCAUUCAGUUCAUAACCAACAGAUACGAAAUUAUUGCAUUGAGGUCAGAGAUGAAGGGAGCCUAAGUCAUGCAUUGACUGAGAGGCUGAGGAGCACUAGAGGAAUUCAAGUGUUAGUUAUGUGUGCGGUAGAGAGCACGUAGAACCAAGGUUCACCCUAGCUGGGGAAGCUCUCAAACUAGCAAUUUGCUUUUGUCUUCCUGCUCAACCAAACACUAAACUUGCUGACUUUCUUGCAGCCUAGCGUCCAACACAGUAUCACCUACAACAGUUACCCCCAGGUCAAGGAGAGACUCAAGAUCUAAAAGUGGGCACUGUGUGCAUACCCCCACAUUCCAGGACCAAGGUGCUCCAGUUGUCCAAUCUCACAACUGAUGGCUGAUGCCUGAAUACAGCUUCAGAGCUCUCCAUGAAGUUGUCUGAGGCCUCUGUUUAGACUACAUUGCAUCAUCUCAACUUCUUCCUCUGCUCAGCCCUGCUUACCUCAAGUAUGGAUCUCAAGCAUACUCCAAAGUCACCCUCCAGUAUGCUAACCUCAGUCUCAGACUUGCAACUGGUGAUCCUGGAGGAGAAGAAAUGGGCUGCCAGGUGGAGAUGCUGGUAGUGUGUGGUAAUACCCUCCCUCCAAGAGAUGAGAGGAUACCUGGAGCCCCUCCUUUUCCCCUCAGGGAGAUGAGAGGAUACCUGGAGCCCCUCCUUUUCCCCUCUGGGAGAUGAGAGGGUACCUGGAGCCCCUCCUUUCAGCCCAGUUGCUCACAUUCACUGCUCUAUGGGGAAGGAAGGACUCAACUCAUGUUUCCAGUCCUACUGUCUUCAUUGUUUUUGCUCCAGUUUCUCCUUAUAUAUGACUCAGGUUAGUACUGUCUCCUUAGGCAUGACAGGGAUUUGGGCAUACAUAUUGUGCUAAAAGAGCUUAUUUCUACCAGGGCAUGCUAUUUACUGUAUCAACACUAAUACUUUUUGAAGGUAUAGAGAGGGCUCCAAGCAGUGGAAAAUGUCACACUGUAUUUUUUCACAGAAGUGUCCAAAGAAAAAUAAGAAAAUUGUUCCUUAUUUGUUUUCUGCUAGUAGAAGUAAUUUUGUGUCUUGCCAAUUUGUGGAACCAGAUAGAGAAUUUUCCUGUCAAAGACCUCUCCUGCCAUCUCAGUGCUCUUUCCUUCUGUGUUUUCUGGGCUAAGUUCUCCUGCAAGCUCAAAGAGGAACAUUGCACAUGGCUGUGUAAAGAUGACAAACCAGGAAGGAGGGCUUCACAUAUUACAUACUUGACAUCAAAUAGGUCACGCCCCUGGUGUUAUAUCGAUCCAGUCAGCUUUCUGCUGUUUGAAGCUUUCAUUGGUUUCUUCUAAGUUUCCUCUAUUUUCACUUUUGGGCUUCAUUAGUCUUCCAUCCCUUGGUUCCUUAAGCCUCUAUAACUCUUACUUUAAAUUUUUUCUAUCCUCUAUAAACAACUUUUAUUCCACCAGUUCCUUGUUUUCUGAGAAAGUAAGGCCCUUCUGUUCUAAGCAACAGAAUUUCCUCACAUUUAGAGUUCAGAAAUGUUCUCUUCUUUCUUUCUUUCUUUCUUUCUUUCUUUCUUUCUUUCUUUCUU
Molecule: long non-coding RNA, 2112 nt
Organism: Sapajus apella (tufted capuchin)
Lineage: Eukaryota; Metazoa; Chordata; Mammalia; Primates; Cebidae
Exons: 4
Source: RefSeq, a predicted model, not a curated record